Non-coding RNA from Microcebus murinus (gray mouse lemur), 2301 nucleotides. The record is from RefSeq and is a predicted model, not a curated record. NCBI's taxonomy places the organism in Eukaryota, Metazoa, Chordata, Mammalia, Primates, Cheirogaleidae.
UAUUAAAGUUGGCCACAAAUUCUCAACACUCUUCCCAUUCAGAUGUGGGGUUUGUCUUUCCUGUCUAUGAAACAAGGUAGAUUCAGGGAUUGCUUGACCCACAGAAUAUGUUGGACAAUACCUUAAUCCUGUGCUAGUUUUUGAAUGCAGGCCUUAAGAGACUGGUUGCUUCCACUUCCUAUCUCUUGAAUACUUCCUCUGAAGAAAGCCAGCCACCAUGUAAAAAGUCCUGUUCUGUGGCUGUCGUGCUGGAGGGUAUGUAUAGGCACUCCUCUUGACAGUCUGGAUAAGUGGACACACCAGCCCAUCGGCCAUCUGAAUACCAUGGAGGGACCUCCGUUAAUACCGCACAGAACAGAGAAUCAUCCAGCUGAGACCUAUCUGAAUUCCCGGGUGAUGGAAUUGUAGGACAUAAGGAAAUGGGUCUUUAUUUAAGCCACUGUUUUGGGGUGUGCUAUGGUCUGGAUGUGUCUCCCCAAAUUUAGAUGUUGAAACUUAAUCACCAAUGUGAUAGUAUUAAGAGGUGGUGCCUUAACGAGGUGAUUAAGUCAUGAGGGUAGAGGUCUCACAGAUGGGAUUAGGGACCUUAGAAAAUGGCUUGAGGGAGUGUGCUCACCCUCUCCUGCUCUUCUGCCAUAUGAGGACACAGGGUUCAUUCUCUUUUCUUUGCCCUCCCAUCCCUUCUGCAUCGAUACAUGGAGAGACCUAUGAGCAAUGGGCUUUUCCCAGACACCGAACCUCUCAGCACUUUGAUCUUGGACUGCGGAGCCUUCAGAAUUUGUGUCUGUCUACACCUCUUCUCUCUUAUUAGGAUGCUUGUGAUGACAUGUAGGACCCACCUGAAGAUAAUCCAGGAUUGUCUCCUCAUUUCAAGAUCCCUAAUUUAAUCACAUCUUUGAAAAACAUCUUUCUCCAAAUAAGGUGGGGAGUGCCCGUGUACCUACUGACAGUCAUGUGGCCAGAGGAGCACUGAAGAUAGUGACAGAGCCAUUCAGCAGCUCAGUUCUGCUCAGUGUGUACAGCCAUCGGCAUGCCCUGUCUUGCCUUUUGAUUGCCACAUUCAUUCUUUCCUUCAAGAAUAACGGCAGUGGCUGUUCAAGUGCCUCUCCCCUAGGGGCUAUUCACCUGUAAGUAUGGGAAGUUUGCUUUUACUUCUCUUCUUCCGGUAAGCUCCUUGAGCAAACGAGGGGGUGUAGUAAUGAACCAGGUCACAUGAGUUACAGAGUCCCCUAUCUGGGUUAGAUGCUCCAUAACCAUCUCUAACUCCCAAAGCAUUGCACUUAGAGUAUUUUACUCCUGUUAUUUGCUGAAUGAAUUCACUCUUCCUUUAGAUGGUAAGCUUCAUGAAGACAGAAACUGCAUCUGUCUUAUUUGGGGCUGCACUUCUGAAGCCUAACAUACUGCCUGGCACAGGACUGAUAUUCUGUAACUAAAUCAACUAAAUAAAAGGGUGGCCUUACGGGCUAAAACAUCUCAUAUGUCCAUUCAUCUCACAAACAAUAUUGUGACUGUGCAGGCGUUGAUGUGGUUAUUUGGUAUAAGUGAGUGAUUCUGGCAGCCCUAGAGGGGCUCCCCUUGCGGUGGGAAGCACAACUGAGUGAAUAAUCACAGAGGAGUCUGACGAAGGCUGUAAAGAGCGUCUCAGACCAGAUAGAAUGUCGGCAGAGAAAGGAGUGAUCAAUUCGGCAUAUAUGGUGUAUUACUUACAGAUGCUUAUAGCAUUGGGCCUUGUAUUGUUAGUUAUCAGUUCAUUCAUAUGGUCUAUCACCCCAAAUAAUCACCAACCAUAUCUUCUACGUCUUCAUUUCUUCUGUAAUAACCUAUCACAGAGUUUGCUAUAUCUAGAUAGUUACUGAAUAGGACGCUAUGAUGAGAAUAGACAGGUGUCAUUGUCCUUCGGGCUGCUUAUUAAAAAAAAUUCCAUAGACUGGAUGACUUAUAAACAAUGUGUCAUUCACACUUCUGGAGGCUGAGGAGUGCAAGAUCCAGGUGCCAGCAGGUUCUGUGUCUGGGGAGAGCUUGCUUCCUGGUUCAUAACUGGCUGUCUUCUCACUGAGUUCUCACUUGGAGCAGGGGACAGGGAGCUCUCUGGAGCCUCUUUCAUAAGGAAACUAAUCUCAUUCAUGAGAGCUCUAUCCACAUUGCCUAAUUACCUGUAAAAACCCUACCUCCCACUACUAUAACAUUGGGUGUUAAAAUUUCAACACACGAACUGUUUUGAGAGGAUGCAAACAUUCGGUCUAUAGCAACAAGGAAUAUGACUUUAAGUUAAAUUACUUGGAAAUAAAUACCAAUCUUGCU